GAGAGACGUUUCAUUCGACCGUAAUCUUUAAAUGUUGAUCUUUUUGGGGAAUUCGUUUCGCUCCCACACAGACAUACAUACGCACACACACACAAAUCGGUUAAAUGCCCAAAACACGACACGUCCGUUUCAAUGUCGUCGAAACGAAUACCUUUAUAAUAUACGAGUAUAUAAUGUGCAGCUCCUUCGGGCUGUCAUACCUGCACACCAUAUGGGCACGGAAAUUGUUAUUCGGUUGUC
Non-coding RNA from Cinara cedri, 240 nucleotides. Lineage: Eukaryota; Metazoa; Arthropoda; Insecta; Hemiptera; Aphididae. The record is from the annotation of a GenBank genome assembly.